Molecule: long non-coding RNA, 1047 nt
Filed under: Chrysolophus pictus (golden pheasant)
Lineage: Eukaryota; Metazoa; Chordata; Aves; Galliformes; Phasianidae
Description: lncRNA (ENSCPIG00010004432.1)
Source: RNAcentral
UACCAAAGGCACUCAGUGCUCUCCUCUGCGCGGCCGGGCCGCGGUCCGAGCCGUUUCGGUGACAACCGAACGCUCGGCGCUGCGCUCUGUGCCGCACUCAUAUCUGCACGUCCUCUGCGCUCCUCCCCCCGCCCCCGCGCACCCCGAAUCCCUGCACCCCGAGCUCUGCCCUCCCGGCCACAUUCACUGCAGUUUUCUCACAGGGAAGCAGAAGGCAGCCGCAGCGUUUUGCCACAGAGCCCCGCGCUUCAGCCCCCGGUAUCUGCCGGCCGUGCGUUUGUUUGCAGAGCUCCCCGCGUCCCGCGUACCCCUCUCUUCAUCCACAGGUUCUGGCUCACAGGAGCCCCUGCGACUUUGACAGCUGUCGCUUUGGCUGCACAGGAGACGAAUCGCCCUCCUUUUGGUGCCAGAAGAAGCAGGAAAUUAGCCAGGUUGCAAGUUGAAAAUCUGCCACGCCAGUGCUUUGAAUCCAAUAUGCCACACCUUCCAGCGGGGGAACUGGAAAUUGCCAUCCCGGAUCUGUGUUCUAGGCGGCUGCUUAUGCCGAACCUCCGCACACUUUGUUCACUAUUGCCUUACAAAGAGCAAAUGAAAUGGGGAUUGAAAGCCAGAGAGAUCCGAAGCAGGACAGAGCUCAGCAAAAGAAUGCGGCUCUAUUCUCGCAAGGGAAAUUAUAAAAAAGUUCAUGUUCACGGUUACCAUCCACAUGACCGACAACGACCAAUGGAAAAACCGAACAACUCAUAAAGUUGUAUUGCAAAGUUGUAAAUUUUCAUAAACAACAACGGAUUUAUGGCCUUUUCCUCAUCACUAAGAAGAGGCAGGUCUUAGAGAGGCGCCAUCUUACCACAGACGCAGCCCCGGAGUUUUUUUUUUUUUUUUUACCAGACCUGGAGUUCGCACUAAUUUUAUUAAAAUUGCAAUUAGUCCAUCGGCGGGGACCGAGCGCGGCGGUGAAGGGGAACUUCAGCUCAGACGAUGCUCCCAUUCCGCUCUGCGUUCGGCCGCCCGAAUAAAGGCGCUUUUCGGGUUUCUAAAAAUUAUUUU